This 195-nucleotide unclassified non-coding RNA is filed under the name rhizosphere metagenome. RNAcentral's name for it is "partial ribosomal RNA internal transcribed spacer region". The record is from RNAcentral.
GUAGGUGAACCUGCGGAAGGAUCAUUACUAGUUUAGGGUGCUGAUCCAGCGCCCAAACUUCAACCCUUUGACUUGAUUAAUUUGUUUCUUUGCCGGUUUUGGCCGGCAGAAGUUUUCUCAAACCCAUUAGAAAUUUGUCCUCUGAACUUCAAAAAAUAAUAAUUAAAACUUUCAACAACGGAUCUCUUGGUUCUG